UCUGUUAUCAAAGAAGUAAUUCACUGAAGGAUGGGCUCGCGUCCGAUUAGGUAGUUGGUGGGGUAAUUGCUCACCAAGCCUAUGACGGGUAGCUGGUCUGAGAGGAUGGUCAGCCAGACUGGGACUGCGACACGGCCCAGACUCCUACGGGAGGCAGCAAUUAGGAAUCUUGCGCAAUGGGCGAAAGCCUGACGCAGCGACGCCGCGUGGUGGAUGAAGGCCUUCGGGUUGUAAACACCUUUUAUAGUGGAACAAGUUCUGAGUGUACACUAUGAAUAAGCACCUUCCAACUAUGUGCCAGAAGAAUCGGUGAUGCGUAGGGUGCAAGCGUUAUCCGGAUUUACUGGGCGUAAAGAGAAGCGUAGGCGUCUUAGUAAGUCUUCAGUGCAAUCUUUCAGCUUAACUGGAAAACUGCUGAGGAAACUACUUUGAUUGAGGCAGACAGGGGAAAGGGGAAUUCCUGGUGGAGCGGUGAAAUGCGUUGAUAUCAGGAGGAAUACCAAUGGCGAAGGCACCUUUCUGGGUCUGUUCUGACGCUAAGGCUCGAAAGCGUGGGGAGCAAAACGGAUUAGAUACCCGUGUAGUCCACGCCCUAAACAAUUCCUACUAGAUAU
This 614-nucleotide ribosomal RNA is filed under the name uncultured bacterium. Its description in RNAcentral is "bacterial SSU rRNA". It matches the Rfam family "Bacterial small subunit ribosomal RNA", at positions 194 to 823 of the family's 1533-position model. The record is from RNAcentral.